CCUACGGGGGGCAGCAGUGGGGAAUAUUGGACAAUGGGGGGAACCCUGAUCCAGCGACGCCGCGUGAGUGAAGAAGUAUUUCGGUAUGUAAAGCUCUAUCAGCAGGGAAGAAAGAAAUGACGGUACCUGACUAAGAAGCCCCGGCUAACUACGUGCCAGCAGCCGCGGGAAUACGUAGGGGGCAAGCGUUAUCCGGAUUUACUGGGUGUAAAGGGAGCGUAGACGGCGAUGCAAGUCUGAAGUGAAAGGCUGGGGCCCAACCCCCGGACUGCUGUGGAGACUGGAUGGCUGGAGUGCAGGAGAGGUAAGUGGAAUUCAGAGUGUAGCGGUGAAAUGCGUAGAUAUUAGGAGGAACACCAGUGGCGAAGGCGGCUUACUGGACUGUAACUGACGUUGAGGCUCGAAAGCGUGGGGAGCAAACAGGAUUAGAUACCCUUGUAGUC
RNAcentral lists this ribosomal RNA (443 nucleotides) under uncultured bacterium. RNAcentral's name for it is "partial 16S ribosomal RNA". It matches the Rfam family "Bacterial small subunit ribosomal RNA", at positions 338 to 795 of the family's 1533-position model. The record is from RNAcentral.